UCGGGCAUGGUGUAUGGUACACGGCUUCCCAACAUAUGGUGAUGGGCAAAAUUGUUGGAAGCAGACUGGGGUUCGACUCCCCGUGUCCGAA
Mycena leptocephala is the source of this 91-nucleotide non-coding RNA. NCBI's taxonomy places the organism in Eukaryota, Fungi, Basidiomycota, Agaricomycetes, Agaricales, Mycenaceae. The record is from the annotation of a GenBank genome assembly.